CUGCCGGUGUCAAACCGGAGGAAGGUGGGGAUGACGUCAAGUCCUCAUGGCCUUUAUGGCCAGGGCUACACACGUACUACAAUGGCCGGUACAAAGGGCAGCGACAUUGCGAGAUGGAGCGAAUCCCGAAAAGCCGGUCUCAGUCCGGAUUGGAGUCUGCAACUCGACUCCAUGAAGUUGGAAUCGCUAGUAAUCGUGGAUCAGCAUGCCACGGUGAAUACGCUCCCGGGCCUU
This 234-nucleotide ribosomal RNA is filed under the name uncultured Desulfobulbus sp. Its description in RNAcentral is "partial 16S ribosomal RNA". It matches the Rfam family "Bacterial small subunit ribosomal RNA", at positions 1149 to 1382 of the family's 1533-position model. The record is from RNAcentral. Lineage: Bacteria; Pseudomonadati; Thermodesulfobacteriota; Desulfobulbia; Desulfobulbales; Desulfobulbaceae.